Cynoglossus semilaevis (tongue sole) is the source of this 1119-nucleotide long non-coding RNA. RefSeq lists it as uncharacterized. The transcript has 2 exons. NCBI's taxonomy places the organism in Eukaryota, Metazoa, Chordata, Actinopteri, Pleuronectiformes, Cynoglossidae. The record is from RefSeq and is a predicted model, not a curated record.
GGACAGGGAACAGACAGACCUGACAGAUGGUGUCCAACAAAAGUGCCGUUUUAUUGUUAAGGCAGGUUAGAAUUGAUUUCUCUGUAAGUCCUUUGACUAACAAGCCAGCUGGUUCCACUAAGACGAAAACUCUUCCCAUUUGGCUGCUUUCUCCAUGUAAUUCCUUUUUUUCGGGAGAUGUGUAUUUGUCAAAGAUACACAUGGUUGGGAACAGUGCAGAUGGCUGCAGAUUUACUGCCUUCUCCUUUGGCCCUCCGCAGCUUGGAUAUCUUGUGGCUCUCACAUCACUGGGCCUGAUACAAAGCUACUAAAUCACGCUUUGGCAAAAUCUCAUUUCUCCUCCUCUCUCUCUCUUCUGUCUGAUCCCACACACUUCAAUACUGACUAUUGACUAAGAAUGAGGUCUAACACCCUGGAGUGUGCAGCCUGGAGGACAUCACUUUUAUCAACCACCUUACCAGGAUUCCCAUCUGUCUCUAACUACCAAACUGUAAAAUAUGUUAUGAUAUAGGACCUUUCUUUAAUUAGGGACUGGUAAACUUUACAUCUUUGCAGUGGUUCUUUCUGGUUGACAAAGUUCUUUUUGUGCAAACACGUCCAAAAUAUUCAAAUACUAUUUAAAGGAUGACAUGUUUAAGACGCACGCCCUGGGGGCUAGGUGUACAUGCACUGGUAUGCUGCAUUCCAGCCACCGGGUGGCUAAAUCCCAAUUUUAAUUGCAUCAGGAACUCUGCCAAAUCACUGUGCAGACUACUACUGUGGCAGCAACACUGUAGAGACGUUAAAGCUUCAAACCUGUUUCCAAUAAGACAGAGUCGGUCAUAUGUCUACAUAUCUCACUUUCACAUGGAUUACUGAGCUCUAAAAUUACAAAAUCAGAAAAUGUUUAAAUCAAGCUCGUGAUCAGAUUUGAAUACUUAUUUUUUUCUCUUAAAAAGUCUUAACAAAAAACAAGCUGACACACACUGGCCAUGUUUUGAUUUAAAUGCUUAACGACAUUUGAGAGUUUUCCUCCUGUCGCCUCGUCAGGAAACACAUGACCAGGUGCCCAUAUUUAAUUCAUGACCCGUCACAUCUGCCUGGUUUGGAGAGGGCUCAGCAAAAAAAAAAAAAAAAAAA